AGAGUUGAUCCUGGCUUAGAACGAACGCUGGCGGCAGGCCUAACACAUGCAAGUCGAGCGCGCCCUUCGGGGUGAGCGGCGGACGGGUUAGUAACGCGUGGGAACGUACCCUUUGGUAGGGAAUAGCCACUGGAAACGGUGAGUAAUACCCUAUGAGCCCUUCGGGGGAAAGAUUUAUCGCCAAAGGAUCGGCCCGCGUUAGAUUAGGUAGUUGGUGGGGUAAUGGCCUACCAAGCCUACGAUCUAUAGCUGGUUUUAGAGGAUGAUCAGCAACACUGGGACUGAGACACGGCCCAGACUCCUACGGGAGGCAGCAGUGGGGAAUCUUGGACAAUGGGGGCAACCCUGAUCCAAGCCAUGCCGCGUGAGUGAAGAAGGCCUUAGGGUCGUAAAGCUCUUUCGCCUGUGAAGAUAAUGACGGUAGCAGGUAAAGAAACCCCGGCUAACUCCGUGCCAGCAGCAGC
RNAcentral lists this ribosomal RNA (464 nucleotides) under uncultured bacterium. RNAcentral describes it as "bacterial SSU rRNA". It matches the Rfam family "Bacterial small subunit ribosomal RNA", at positions 8 to 518 of the family's 1533-position model. The record is from RNAcentral.